CAGACAUGCUGAUGGUGUCAUGGUGGUGAGGGUGUACACAUACUGAUAGUGACGGAGUUAGUAAGAUGUGGUGGGUAUGGUGUUGUAUGGUGAUAGUAAUGAUAGUGGUGCCUAGUGAUGUUAUGGUGAUAAUGUAUAGUGAUGGUAACUGCAGUGUAAUGAUUUCAGAACUUACAAUAGUGAUAGUGGUGAUGAGCAAAGCGUCUCUGAACAACUACAGUGGUGAUGGUGACUGUGGAUAUUGGUGUAGAGAGUGGAGAAACACACUUGAGAACCGUGCUAAGUACCUCUGGCCUUAGCCGUGGCGAGAGAGAGAGAGAGAGACAGCAAAGCGUUUCAGAAGACGAGAGAGAAAGAGACACGAACUUAAGAAAACAAGGUCAUUUGCAAAGUGCGAGGCCGGCCAGCAACCCGCCCGCCCAACCCCACC
Long non-coding RNA from Scylla paramamosain (green mud crab), 430 nucleotides. RefSeq lists it as uncharacterized. Lineage: Eukaryota; Metazoa; Arthropoda; Malacostraca; Decapoda; Portunidae. The transcript has 2 exons. The record is from RefSeq and is a predicted model, not a curated record.